Molecule: non-coding RNA, 344 nt
Organism: Cinara cedri
Lineage: Eukaryota; Metazoa; Arthropoda; Insecta; Hemiptera; Aphididae
Source: the annotation of a GenBank genome assembly
AUUGCGGCACUCCACCAUUCAGUAAUUACUCAAUACAUUCCACUGACACCGAGUGCCGUGUAGAUCGUGCGGGCCACGGACUCAGAUAUCAUGAUCGUAAUUUGGAUACAAUUUUAACCGACGAUACCGCUUGAUUAAGCAAUUAUUAAGUUGAACACUUUUCGCCGUGUGGUUAUUAAUAUCAUAAUAUCUAUGGCAAUUUCUCAUUUUGGCCAUUUUGCUACUUGUAAUAAAAUAGUUCUAUUAUUAUUAAUUUUUUCGUGUUCGUACUUUUGUAUCGUUGUUGAUUUUAAAUAAAUACUAAUAUUAAAUUUUUUUUUUAUGCAACUUUAAUUGCUUAUGAU